This 338-nucleotide unclassified non-coding RNA is filed under the name Hevea brasiliensis (rubber tree). The record is from RNAcentral. Lineage: Eukaryota; Viridiplantae; Streptophyta; Magnoliopsida; Malpighiales; Euphorbiaceae.
CGAGAAGUAUCCUCAAGUUUACACUAGUGAUGACAAGUUCCUGAUAGAUGUUGAAUCAGUUACGGUGGAAAAGUAUCAUUUUCUAGAGGCCAUGACAACAAUCACUCCAGCUGCACAUAGAGGCUCAAUUGUGCACUCUAGGCCAUUAUCUUCUGUUGUUGCACCUUGUCUACAUGGACCUCUCCGGAAAGCUAUGAGCAUCAUUUCAGAUAUUUUUCCUCUUUCAGUUUCUUCAGAAUUGAGUAAACUUUCCAUGCUCUCCUAUGGUUCUGCUAUUCCUCUUGUGUACAGACCUCGGCUUCUGCUCUGUGGUGGUGAAGGUGUUGGGCUGGAUCAUG